RNAcentral lists this ribosomal RNA (484 nucleotides) under uncultured bacterium. RNAcentral's name for it is "partial 16S ribosomal RNA". It matches the Rfam family "Bacterial small subunit ribosomal RNA", at positions 29 to 507 of the family's 1533-position model. The record is from RNAcentral.
AUUGAACGCUGGCGGCAUGCUCUACACAUGCAAGUCGAACGGCAGCGCGGGCUUCGGCCUGGCGGCGAGUGGCGAACGGGUGAGUAAUACAUCGGAACGUGCCCAGUAGUGGGGGAUAGCUCGGCGAAAGCCGGAUUAAUACCGCAUACGACCUGAGGGUGAAAGCGGGGGAUCUUCGGACCUCGCGCUAUUGGAGCGGCCGAUGGCAGAUUAGCUAGUUGGUGGGGUAAAGGCCUACCAAGGCGACGAUCUGUAGCUGGUCUGAGAGGACGACCAGCCACACUGGGACUGAGACACGGCCCAGACUCCUACGGGAGGCAGCAGUGGGGAAUUUUGGACAAUGGGCGAAAGCCUGAUCCAGCAAUGCCGCGUGUGUGAUGAAGGCCUUCGGGUUGUAAAGCACUUUUGGCGGGAACGAAAAGGACUGUGCCAAUACCACGUUUCGAUGACGGUACCCGCAGAAUAAGCACCGGCUAACUACGUG